RNAcentral lists this ribosomal RNA (264 nucleotides) under uncultured Bradyrhizobium sp. RNAcentral's name for it is "partial 16S ribosomal RNA". It matches the Rfam family "Bacterial small subunit ribosomal RNA", at positions 511 to 774 of the family's 1533-position model. The record is from RNAcentral. Lineage: Bacteria; Pseudomonadati; Pseudomonadota; Alphaproteobacteria; Hyphomicrobiales; Nitrobacteraceae.
GCAGCCGCGGUAAUACGAAGGGGGCUAGCGUUGCUCGGAAUCACUGGGCGUAAAGGGUGCGUAGGCGGGUCUUUAAGUCAGGGGUGAAAUCCUGGAGCUCAACUCCAGAACUGCCUUUGAUACUGAAGAUCUUGAGUUCGGGAGAGGUGAGUGGAACUGCGAGUGUAGAGGUGAAAUUCGUAGAUAUUCGCAAGAACACCAGUGGCGAAGGCGGCUCACUGGCCCGAUACUGACGCUGAGGCACGAAAGCGUGGGGAGCAAACA